AGAAUCAACGCUGGCGGCGUGCCUAACACAUGCAAGUCGAACGAGAAAGUGGAGCAAUCCAUGAGUACAGUGGCGUACGGGUGAGUAACACGUGACUAACCUACCCUCGAGUGGGGAAUAACCUCGGGAAACCGGGCUAAUACCGCAUAACAUCCACGGAUCAAAUGCGUAAGCAGCUUGAGGAGGGGUCGCGGCUGAUUAGCUAGUUGGCGGGGUAAUGGCCCACCAAGGCAGUGAUCUGUA
Molecule: ribosomal RNA, 243 nt
Filed under: uncultured bacterium
Lineage: Bacteria
Description: partial small subunit ribosomal RNA
Rfam family: Bacterial small subunit ribosomal RNA
Source: RNAcentral